This is a long non-coding RNA of Calidris pugnax (ruff), 790 nucleotides long. RefSeq lists it as uncharacterized. The transcript is spliced from 6 exons. The record is from RefSeq and is a predicted model, not a curated record. Lineage: Eukaryota; Metazoa; Chordata; Aves; Charadriiformes; Scolopacidae.
CUCCGAGCGACUGGAAGAGGAGGAGAGGAGAGCCCAAAGAAAAUGUCAUGGAGGGUUGCGUUAACUAAUGGCAAAGCACAACGCCGGACCAGAAAGCACACAGAAACGAUUUGUGCCUCGCUUGCGGAUUAAGGAGAAAGUUCUUCAGCAUCUCUCCGGAGUGCUGGUGAAACCAUCUGCCAGAGCAGCCUCUCCUGAACUGGAAGCAUAACAAAGCAACAUAAACAAAUCAGCAGCUGGGCUCCUUCCCCUCUCCUCCCUCCACAGAAAGUAAGCAGAUCUUUUCCCAACUAGCAGGAAGAUGAUGUGAAAUAAUUAUGAUGUCUGCAAUCGAGGAACGAGGGAAAAAACCCCACCAAUUACCACAGCAAGAGAGAUGGCGAUGCGCUCCAGGUCUCCGGUGAUGCCCUGCUGCAGCCAAACCUCCUGCCUUGGCACAAAGGGAAUUGGGGCCUUUAAAAGCACAUGUAGGAAAUGUGAUUAUAUCUCAUUUGGCUGAAGAAUGAAACGUACUGCAAGAGCUACACACACACACUUCUGUUCUCGUGCCAUCGUUGCCCACAGGCCCAGGGCUUUGAACCACACCACCCUGAGACCCCACGUCAAGAAGGACAGGGAACUGCAGGAGAAGAUUAAAGCAGAUCAUCAUCAUCUUCAUCAUCAUCGUCACAUGUGUUCGUGCAGGCAAGAGAACAACUCAUCUCUGAAUUUUGAGUGGGGUCAGCGCUCUUUCCACAACCUGAGACCCUCCAAAAUUUUGCCUGGACUGAGAUGACCACCCCCCCACAUA